CAGUAGCCACGGUAAUACGAAGGGGGCUAGCGUUGCUCGGAAUGGCUGGGCGUAAAGGGCGCGUAGGCGGAUGGUACAGUCAGAUGUGAAAUUCCUGGGCUUAACCUGGGGGCUGCAUUUGAUACGUAUUGUCUAGAGUGAGGAAGAGGGUCGUGGAAUUCCCAGUGUAGAGGUGAAAUUCGUAGAUAUUGGGAAGAACACCGACGGCGAAAGCACUCUGCUAGGCCGACACUGACACUGAGAGACGAAAGCUAGGGGAGCAAAUGGGAUUAGAUACCCCCGUAGUCCCUGUCUCUUAUAC
This 301-nucleotide ribosomal RNA is filed under the name uncultured bacterium. RNAcentral describes it as "partial 16S ribosomal RNA". It matches the Rfam family "Bacterial small subunit ribosomal RNA", at positions 509 to 807 of the family's 1533-position model. The record is from RNAcentral.